Pangasius djambal is the source of this 74-nucleotide non-coding RNA. The record is from the annotation of a GenBank genome assembly. NCBI's taxonomy places the organism in Eukaryota, Metazoa, Chordata, Actinopteri, Siluriformes, Pangasiidae.
GGUAGCGUGGCCUAAGGUGCUGGAUUAAGGCUCCAGUCUUGUCGGUGGUGUGGGUUUGAAUCCCACCGCUGCCA